This 20-nucleotide non-coding RNA is filed under the name Arabidopsis thaliana (thale cress). Lineage: Eukaryota; Viridiplantae; Streptophyta; Magnoliopsida; Brassicales; Brassicaceae. The record is from RNAcentral.
GAUUGAUCGUUGCUCUGAAG